This 30-nucleotide non-coding RNA is filed under the name Homo sapiens (human). The record is from RNAcentral. Lineage: Eukaryota; Metazoa; Chordata; Mammalia; Primates; Hominidae.
GCUCGCAGGUGUGCAAUGCUGGGCUGCGUA